Long non-coding RNA from Oncorhynchus masou masou (cherry salmon), 757 nucleotides. RefSeq lists it as uncharacterized. NCBI's taxonomy places the organism in Eukaryota, Metazoa, Chordata, Actinopteri, Salmoniformes, Salmonidae. The record is from RefSeq and is a predicted model, not a curated record. The transcript is spliced from 4 exons.
UGUCUCCCAACUUCAUAAUUGCAUUGAUGUCAGUGGAGUCAUGUUUGUAACUUUCCCUAUGUUUGACAGCCACACUUCAGGAUAGUCAGACAGGGCAGACGGAGAAUCUUCAGAAGAAGAUUGAGGGUCUUUACCUCAGUGUGAAACAGAGGAAACACUACCUCUACCGUUUGAUAGUUACUUUUGUCCAUAGCUGUGCCACAGCUGUGUGGUUGCGCCCCGACAGUGACAAGUGGCAAGCAGAACAUCCUGAUUGGAAUAAAAAAGCUGCCACAACCUGUCCGUUCCUGCUCUGAACUGCUCCGGGUGUCUGAGACAUUGGACAAUGGGGCUGUGCGAACCUGUAAAGAGUGGCUACUGGCCAGCCACCGUGACUCACCACACCAUCUUCACAGUGGACCUCUUCAAGUCCUUUGAAGACAUGAAGGUGUUGGCCCCAGGAUUCUCCCGUCAAGCCUUUGUGGGAAUUAUUCAUCGAAGAACAAAGCACUUUGGCAGGAGUGGAAAGAUAUGUGGUGACACAUUCCAGAAGGCAUUCUUUGAGUGGACUUACGGCACAGCUUGAAACAGACAAGUUUUGUGUAAGCGAUCUCCUCCAUUGUCCUGCCUGGAUAGGAUGGGAAUCACAAGCAAUAAUGCCUCCAUAAAGCCUCAAGGUUUGUACUACCUUCUUAUGUGUUGGAUGUUGUGUUCAGGGAAUAAUUAUACCUUCUUAAAGUGCAUGCUGUUCUUCUUUUUGUAAUAAAGUAUAUGUUUG